This 253-nucleotide ribosomal RNA is filed under the name uncultured bacterium. RNAcentral's name for it is "partial 16S ribosomal RNA". It matches the Rfam family "Bacterial small subunit ribosomal RNA", at positions 524 to 776 of the family's 1533-position model. The record is from RNAcentral.
CACGGGGGGAGCAAGCGUUGUUCGGAAUCACUGGGCGUAAAGGGCGUGUAGGCGGUCAAGUAAGUGGAAUGUGAAAGCCCCCGGCUUACCCGGGGAUCUGCAUCCCAAACUGCUUGGCUUGAGUACGGGAGAGGAUAGGGGAAUUCCUGGUGUAGCGGUGGAAUGCGCAGAUAUCAGGAGGAACACCGGUGGCGAAGGCGGGUCUCUGGGCAGUAACUGACGCUGAGGAGCGAAAGCGUGGGGAGCGAACAGG